GUUCCUAAUCCGGCCUGGGCAUGGACAGAGGAAGGAAGAGAAGCAGGUGAGGGAGGUGGCAACAGGGCACGGAAUGGAAGCAGAUAGGCGGAUGGGAGGCAGAGUCCGGGAAAAGGGAACCUGGAGUGAUGUGUAUGUCGGUAUUAUCUGACAAAGUCAUGAAUGAAGCUAUUGUGAAGUUGCUUCAAGAGUGACAGCAAACCCUGCUGACAUGAGUGGAGGGACAGGAAGUCUCAGUCAGACGUGUGAGACAAGAAGAAAACAUGGAAAUCCUACAACUUUAUUCAAGCUCACAUGGCACUUGCUGUAAUAAUAGGAGAAACAUGAGGAGGAGCGUUCCAGAGCUCUACGGGGAAUCAAGAGCCUUGGUUCAGCAGCCCUGAGGAAUUUCUGGGACACAUGAGGAAAUGAUCAAAUCCUUGAUGAAGCAGGAGAAUCUACAGCACCAUGCAGGCUAAAAAGGACGUUUCCCAAGAGAACUUAUGGAAAAGCACUGGCAGGCUGGAGAUAGUCAGGGCAGGCUCACUAAUUAGAAGGCGGUCUGGCAGAUGGGCCCCUAGUACCUUCAGAGUGGUUGGCUCCAAGACUUGCCCUGGGCACAACUCCAUGAGAAGAUGCUCCUGAUAAAAGCUUGAGGCACCUCACUUUUCUUAGCUCAUGCCUUAGAAUCGAAGAUGAGAGUAGGAUCACGUGCCAGGUAAGGCCCAACUGUCACCAGGUGGCCAAAGUCUCUGCACCCCAAAGUGCACAAACUCCUUACACACUCCAGAAAAGGCCUUAACCCUCUUUUUGUGUGGGCCCCUGUAAUUACAAUCCACAACUGUGUGUGCUUAGGUCUCUGCUAAAUUGCUGAAGCUGGCCUCUAAUUUGCAAUCCUCCUGUGUCAGCCUCCCAAGUCACUGGGAUUGCAGGCAUGCACCAAUGCUUCUGGCUUGACAUUUUUUGAUAUCUUCUAAGUUUUGUCCACUAGUCUCUUCUCUCUUCUUUUCUCUCUCUCUCUCUCUCUCUCUCUCUCUCUCUCUCUCUCUCUCUCUCUCUCUCUCUCCCGCUCUGGCUCAAAGCAGUUUAUUUGCAGAGGAAACAGAGAUGUUUGUCCCUGAAGUUUCCUGCUGUCCACAUUUUGCUGACUACACUCAGCAUUGACCUUGAGGUCAUUUGCCUAAAUUCCCUGUCUGCUGUGUUUCCUGUAAAUUGGUAGUUUGAUUUUAUUUUUUGUAUGCUUGCUCACUUUUGUUUAUUUUUGGUUCUUUCCUCUAUUACUCCUUGUGAUUUU
Sciurus carolinensis (gray squirrel) is the source of this 1273-nucleotide long non-coding RNA. RefSeq lists it as uncharacterized. The record is from RefSeq and is a predicted model, not a curated record. The transcript is spliced from 3 exons. NCBI's taxonomy places the organism in Eukaryota, Metazoa, Chordata, Mammalia, Rodentia, Sciuridae.